GGGGUUGUGGCUCAGUGGUAGAGCGCUUGCCUAGCACGUGUGAGGCACUGGGUUCAAUUCUCAGCACCA
This 69-nucleotide transfer RNA is filed under the name Marmota marmota marmota (Alpine marmot). It matches the Rfam family "tRNA". Rfam says of the family: Transfer RNA (tRNA) molecules are approximately 80 nucleotides in length. Their secondary structure includes four short double-helical elements and three loops (D, anti-codon, and T loops). Lineage: Eukaryota; Metazoa; Chordata; Mammalia; Rodentia; Sciuridae. The record is from Rfam by way of RNAcentral. RNAcentral also lists the same sequence under 3 other names.